AGUAGUAUGUGCCAUGUGUUUUAAAAUGGCCUAAGUAUGUGCCAUGUGUUUUAAAAUGGCCUUACUGUAAACCAACACUCAAGCUCUGAGAGAAAAAACAGUUUGUAAAAAUGUCUUGGCUUUACUUGGUUAAUAAAAAAUCAAACUAAUUCAUUGGCACUGCAUCCUCUUUCACAUUACUACAUGAAAUUGAUCUAUUUAAAUAGUACUGAAUUAUUGCAUCAUAUCGUGAUAUGGGUGUAAAUCGUAUCAUACCGCAUUGCAAAAUGCCACACAUGUAUCGUUAAUAUAUCGCAUCGGAUACUUAGUAUCGAGAUGCGUAUUGGAUCGGCAUUAUACCUUAGAUGCCCAACCCUAGUAUGAAAGGUUUGUAGA
Long non-coding RNA from Melanotaenia boesemani (Boeseman's rainbowfish), 375 nucleotides. RefSeq lists it as uncharacterized. The record is from RefSeq and is a predicted model, not a curated record. NCBI's taxonomy places the organism in Eukaryota, Metazoa, Chordata, Actinopteri, Atheriniformes, Melanotaeniidae. The transcript is spliced from 3 exons.